Molecule: ribosomal RNA, 321 nt
Filed under: uncultured eukaryote
Lineage: Eukaryota
Description: partial 18S ribosomal RNA
Rfam family: Eukaryotic small subunit ribosomal RNA
Source: RNAcentral
CCCUUAGAUGUCCUGGGCCGCACGCGCGCUACACUGACAUGUUCAACGAGCCUCCUAGUUCGACAGGAUUUGGGAAAUCUUUGAACGCAUGUCGUGAUAGGGAUAGAUCAUUGCAAUUAUUGAUCUUGAACGAGGAAUUCCUAGUAAACGCGAGUCAUCAGCUCGCAUUGAUUACGUCCCUGCCCUUUGUACACACCGCCCGUCGCACCUACCGAUUGAAUGUUUCGGUGAAGAUUCCGGAUAGGACUUUUUUGAUUUAUUUCAAUUCUGUCUUAAAAGCUAUCUAAACCUCAACAUUUAGAGGAAGGUGAAGUCGUAACA